This is a long non-coding RNA of Patella vulgata (common limpet), 505 nucleotides long. RefSeq lists it as uncharacterized. The transcript is spliced from 3 exons. Lineage: Eukaryota; Metazoa; Mollusca; Gastropoda; Patellidae. The record is from RefSeq and is a predicted model, not a curated record.
CGUGUAUAUAAAUAUGAAUAUUAAUCAUAUCUAAACGGUUUAUAUUUAAAUAAGUUGUACAGGUUAUACAGGCAUAAUCUUUUUAAAAUGUUGGCUGUAAUUUUUCUGAUAGCAUUGGCUGGUCAUCUAGUUACAAGUGCCAACACUGAAUGUAUAUAUGAUAGAACGGUACAUCAUGUCGGGGAUGUGUGGACGACUGUAGAAGGGUGUAAUACGUGUAGAUGUACUGCUACUGGAAUGAUCUGUUCCUUCCAAGAUUGUGACAAACAAAGAUUUGCAAAACCAAAUUCUGGUGGAGCUGAUUGUAAUUCAGAAGGUGAUUGGUAUAAACAUCGUGAUUUCUGGUUGAUUAAAGAUGGCUGUAAUACCUGUUAUUGUUUGAUGCCAGGUAACUUCCGGGGAUAUCAAGUCUGUACAACCACAGAUUGUUCAUUCAUUAAUCACCAUAUUGGAUAGAUUCAUAAAAACAAAGAACAAGAUCGCUUUAAUUUGAGUGAAAAAUAAA